Molecule: unclassified non-coding RNA, 253 nt
Filed under: uncultured Planctomycetales bacterium
Lineage: Bacteria; Pseudomonadati; Planctomycetota; Planctomycetia; Planctomycetales
Description: contains 16S-23S intergenic spacer region
Rfam family: Bacterial small subunit ribosomal RNA
Source: RNAcentral
UACGUACUGGGCGAACGUUAUUCGGAAUCACUGGGCUUAAAGGGUGCGUAGGCGGCUCUCCAGGUCUGGUGUGAAAUCUCUCGGCUCAACCGAGAAAUGGCGCUGGAAACCGGAUGGCUUGAGUGUGCUAGGGGUGUGUGGAACUUCCGGUGGAGCGGUGAAAUGUGUUGAUAUAGGAAGGAACGCCGGUGGCGAAAGCGACACACUGGGGCAUAACUGACGCUGAGGCACGAAAGCUAGGGUAGCGAACGGG